AUUUUUUUAGAUUAUGGAAAAAGUUCCGGCCUUAAUCAUUCACAAGCGAAUGACUACAGCUAAAAGAGUUACAGGAGUUCUUAGACUCUAGACCUCACAUGAGGUACUCCACAAAUAUAAGAAAAAAACUAUAAAACAAAAAAAGAAAUUUAGAAGACUAAGUUUCAAUCUUCUUCUUCGUUCUCGCUUCAAUCUUGCAAUAUUUUCACAUAGUAUCAAUCCAUCACAUCACUCGUCUGCUUAGAAGCUUGAUGUUUGGAUAAUCUAUUGCAUACCCUUUUCAAUCUAUGCUUGCAGAUGAGUGCUAAAACAUCCCACUUGAGCCGAUUCCCACCAAGAUGAUGUGCACAAGGUGAGGAGGUGGCACCUUCGACGAUGCUUCCAACGAAGGUUGCGGCACCCAAGGGUCUCGCCGCCGCCGGCUCCAACCAAUGUUAGGCCGAGGCUUUCGUCCAGCACCGCCACGUUCACCCCCGCACAUCACCCAAAAGCAGCAACCAGCACUAUGAGCACGACCAAGAGCGAUCACCGCUGCCACUCCUGCAGAGCACCUCACGCCGCACAACCAUGGAAGAUGUGCUGGGGGAUGCGACGCCCUCAACAGGGAAGACCACGCCCACGGGCGCCGCCAUCGUCGAGGCUUUCGCCCAUGAAGCCCCAGCACAAAACCUCAAGCUAGGAUGCGAACCCUAGCUCGCCACCACCACUGUCGUCGGCGCCCUAUCAUCCCGUAGCAGCCCUGUCAGAGGGCAAACACACGGAGACUGGGUGCCGCACGCACUACCGCCGGAUGGUGCACCCCCACCGCCAAGGCGCCACGCCUCCCUCCGGCGGGGACGCCGCCGGGUCCUUCAGCUCGCCACCGCGCAGACCCCCGGCCGACGACCUAGCCACACCACCACCACACUCCUCAGCCACCGGUCCGCAGUCCUCCUCGAGCCACGAUCGCCGCCUCGCGCCAUUGUCUGCGGCCGCCAGGCAGCAGCGCGGCACUCGCGCCUCAAUCCGCCCGUCCUCACAAACGCUCACGUCUCAGGCCCGCAGAUCCUCUAGAGGAGGCUGCGGAUCCACCCCUGGGGGCCACAGAUCCAGUUAAAGGAACGCCGGAGUAGUCCCCAGAGCCGCCAGCGAACAACGUCGCCGCCGCCACCUGCGCAGCGCGCCAGGACGCUCCCAAUCGAGACGCCCCGCCGCCGCCCUCCUUGCCGUUGCUGGGCUUCCGGCCCUUAGCUCGGGCGACGGUGAGUACGGGGAGGUGGGGAGGAAGCCUGUGGCGGCGUGUGAUGCUAGUCCACCCACCCCAGCCCAAUUCUUAACUUCUUAUGCCAAGUGGCCUGCUUGUUGCUCUUGGCGUCAGGCCAACCUCCCAUGUCAUCCACUACCUACUUGUUGUUUUCUAUGACCUUUUUGCGUGGUUGUAAUCUUUCAAGAAUCUUUUAUUUAUAUAUAUACAUACAUACAUAUAUAUGUAUAUAUGUGUGUGUAUUUCGUUCCUGCCUCAAUCAAUUUUCGAAUAUGCUUUAUUAGUUUUCUGUUUUUUCAGUUGACUUGACUUGAGUAGUCUUUUUUUUUUAACUUAGAAAUGCUAGAGUACAUCUGUCUUUCGUGUAAUUUCAGUAUUCUCCAUCUCGGGCAAGUCGUUGAUUCCUUAAGCCUUAGAGGAGCCAUUGUUUCAAUAUGUUGAUCUGCUUCUUUGCUGAUUGGCCUAUCGGAUUAUAGUCUUCUUCGCUGGCCAUCGCUCGAUCGUGCUUCGCACACAAAGCUGCUUGGAGGAAGAAGCCGGAGGUGUGGGAAGAACGGAAACAAAAAGAUAAGAGGCAGUAAGAUCCUGCUUCAUUUUGUACAGGCGGCUGGGAGCCGUGAUGGCCGAUCUUACUCUUGGCAGCGUGGAGAAGAUUGUUCAAAUUGGGCUCGCCAUCAAGGAGGCUGCUGACACGGUUCAACAGAACAAGGAGGAGUGCCUUGAGAUCAAGAAGCGCGUGGUCAGAAUCACCGCCAUCCUUAAGCAACUGGAGGAGAAGAAGAUGAUGGACGACCCAAUGUUGGAGGACCCGCUGCAGGAUCUAGAGGAGGCCCUCCGGCAUGCUCUCACGCUCGUCACGGAUUGCCAGGAGAAGCAUAUCGUGUGCCUCUUCUGUACGGCCGGGGAGCUGUCCAAGCAGCUGCGCCGGGUACGGGAGGACAAUGCAGAUAAGAUGACGCUGGGAGUGUUCGCUGUCGUAGCCACAGCCACUGUUAACAUCACCAUUAUCAUGGAAAGAAUUGAAUGUCCUGCACAGCCACAGGAUGCCGAAGCAGUGCAGUCCAUGGCGAGCAGUUCUUGGGCCGCUUGUUCUAGAAUUGAAACGGACGUCAAGGAAAACAAUGUACCAGCAGGAAGUGACCCGCCCUUUGCUUCCUUAUUAGUACCUGGGUUCACAAAGUUCAGUUUCUCUGAGAUGAGAGAGGCUACAAAUAACUUUUCCAAAGAUAACUUCAUUGGAAGAGGUGCCUUUUCUUGUGUCUACAAGGGUCGGCUACAAGAUGGACAAGUGGUCGCCAUAAAGAGAUUUGGAGGUCCUGAAUCUUUUGACGGGAACUACGCAGAGAAAGAAAUCCAGUUAAUUUCCAAGCUUGAGCACAAUAAUAUAGUAAAAUGUCUGGGAUAUGCGCUUGAUGAAGUCCAAACGGCAGAAUUAACGCUGCCCAACAGCAGAAUAGUGUUGGCUGAAAAAAGGCACUUUUGCAUUGUCAACGAAUACAUGCCUAAUGGGGAUUUGGAGGGAAUCAACGACCGUGUUGAUUUCCCGCACCGCACGAUAUAUAUGUAUUUUGCGGGGUCAGGAGGAGUUCAUUGGUCGUCUCGUUUGCAGCUAAUUCAGGGGAUAGCCCAGGGCAUACAUUACCUGCAUGGGAAGAAUAUUGUUCAUAUGGAUCUGAAACCAAACAACAUACUCCUGGACACUAACAUGAAUGCUAAGAUUACAGAUUUUGGGUUAUCUAUGAUGUUUAUUGAUAAUCAAACAGAGGUGAUGUCCGACAUCGUCGUAGGCACACAGGGCUAUAUGGCACCAGAAUAUAUUAUGGAGGGCAAGGUAUCGCACAAGUUGGACAUGUUCUCUUUUGGCGUCAUUCUUCUUAGAGCCAUUAUUGGCGGUAUGUUCAAAGAUGGCCCACCAAGAGGCAUUUGGGAUUAUAAUCAGGUCGAGUUGAGGGAUACUAGAAAAAUGAAGGGGCUACUUGAUCCGUCCUUGUUUCACGAGUCCCAGCUGGAGGAGAUAAAAAGUUGCUUCAAGAUUGGUCUGGCGUGUGUUGAUUCCGAUCACAAAAAACGGCCAACCAUCGAUGAAGUUGUCCGGAAGCUAGACAAGAUUAAACAAAAAGCGGGGACUCCAGAGAAUCCAAGCAGCAUGCUACGCCGGCUGAAUACUCUGACAUCAAUGGGAGGGCGCCACUGAUGUGGAUUUUCAGCGUUUAUUUGGAACCGAACCUCCCGUACAAUGUGGCGUUGGGAACUCACCAUACGUAGUACGAGGGAAAAAAGGCUGAAGAAUCUGGGAUGGAUGGAGCUGUGACUAGCAAAUGUGCAGAACAAACCGAUGGGGCAUCCUGGGAAGGGGGCAAACACACCUUCUGUACGUUCUGUGUCAUACAUGGUAGAGGAGGAAGCAAGCAUGAUUUCACACCUCCUAAGUUUGUACUGGUAUCUCGCUCAUGUUCAUCUUCGCGACCAACAUUAUAUUGUACACUCAUGGUUCCAGAUACUAUUAUGUGUUGCAAAUGGAAUUUCACAUCUGACGGAGACAUUGCAUUGUUAGACCAUCUCCAAGAGACUCAAAGUAGUUGAAUAGCUAAAAAUAGCCAAACUGAGGUAAAAACCAGAUCCAGCAUUUGGAAGGUAAAAGCAGGUGAGGCCGGGUGAAAGAGGUGUUUGGCGGCUUAGCAUACAACGCAAUGAUAAUAUUACUAGCUGGGUAAUAAGUACCUGAAUCCAGCACCUCCUAAGUUUGUACUGGUGUCUCGCUCAUGUUCGUCUUCGCGACCAACAUUGUAUUGUACACUCGUGGUUCAAGAUACUAUUAUGUGUUGCAAAUGGAAUUUCACAGCUGACAGAGACAUUGCAUUGUUAGAGCA
This is an RNA transcript of Panicum virgatum (switchgrass), 4113 nucleotides long. It is a transcript of the gene named putative receptor-like protein kinase At4g00960, with no coding region annotated. Lineage: Eukaryota; Viridiplantae; Streptophyta; Magnoliopsida; Poales; Poaceae. The transcript has 10 exons. The record is from RefSeq and is a predicted model, not a curated record.